Molecule: ribosomal RNA, 1506 nt
Filed under: metagenome
Description: bacterial SSU rRNA
Rfam family: Bacterial small subunit ribosomal RNA
Source: RNAcentral
AGAGUUUGAUCCUGGCUCAGGACGAACGCUGGCGGCGUGCCUAAUACAUGCAAGUAGAACGCUGAAGGGAGGAGCUUGCUCUUCUUGGAUGAGUUGCGAACGGGUGAGUAACGCGUAGGUAACCUGCCUUGUAGCGGGGGAUAACUAUUGGAAACGAUAGCUAAUACCGCAUAACAAUGGAUGACACAUGUCAUUUAUUUGAAAGGGGCAAUUGUUCCACUACAAGAUGGACCUGCGUUGUAUUAGCUAGUAGGUGAGGUAAUGGCUCACCUAGGCGACGAUACAUAGCCGACCUGAGAGGGUGAUCGGCCACACUGGGACUGAGACACGGCCCAGACUCCUACGGGAGGCAGCAGUAGGGAAUCUUCGGCAAUGGGGGCAACCCUGACCGAGCAACGCCGCGUGAGUGAAGAAGGUUUUCGGAUCGUAAAGCUCUGUUGUAAGUCAAGAACGGGUGUGAGAGUGGAAAGUUCACACUGUGACGGUAGCUUACCAGAAAGGGGCGGCUAACUACGUGCCAGCAGCCGCGGUAAUACGUAGGUCCCGAGCGUUGUCCGGAUUUAUUGGGCGUAAAGCGAGCGCAGGCGGUUUGAUAAGUCUGAAGUUAAAGGCUGUGGCUCAACCAUAGUUCGCUUUGGAAACUGUCAAACUUGAGUGCAGAAGGGGAGAGUGGAAUUCCAUGUGUAGCGGUGAAAUGCGUAGAUAUAUGGAGGAACACCGGUGGCGAAAGCGGCUCUCUGGUCUGUAACUGACGCUGAGGCUCGAAAGCGUGGGGAGCGAACAGGAUUAGAUACCCUGGUAGUCCACGCCGUAAACGAUGAGUGCUAGGUGUUGGAUCCUUUCCGGGAUUCAGUGCCGCAGCUAACGCAUUAAGCACUCCGCCUGGGGAGUACGACCGCAAGGUUGAAACUCAAAGGAAUUGACGGGGGCCCGCACAAGCGGUGGAGCAUGUGGUUUAAUUCGAAGCAACGCGAAGAACCUUACCAGGUCUUGACAUCCCGAUGCUAUUUCUAGAGAUAGAAAGUUACUUCGGUACAUCGGUGACAGGUGGUGCAUGGUUGUCGUCAGCUCGUGUCGUGAGAUGUUGGGUUAAGUCCCGCAACGAGCGCAACCCCUAUUGUUAGUUGCCAUCAUUCAGUUGGGCACUCUAGCGAGACUGCCGGUAAUAAACCGGAGGAAGGUGGGGAUGACGUCAAAUCAUCAUGCCCCUUAUGACCUGGGCUACACACGUGCUACAAUGGUUGGUACAACGAGUUGCGAGUCGGUGACGGCGAGCUAAUCUCUUAAAGCCAAUCUCAGUUCGGAUUGUAGGCUGCAACUCGCCUACAUGAAGUCGGAAUCGCUAGUAAUCGCGGAUCAGCACGCCGCGGUGAAUACGUUCCCGGGCCUUGUACACACCGCCCGUCACACCACGAGAGUUUGUAACACCCGAAGUCGGUGAGGUAACCUUUUGGAGCCAGCCGCCUAAGGUGGGACAGAUGAUUGGGGUGAAGUCGUAACAAGGUA